RNAcentral lists this ribosomal RNA (595 nucleotides) under uncultured Brevundimonas sp. RNAcentral's name for it is "bacterial SSU rRNA". It matches the Rfam family "Bacterial small subunit ribosomal RNA", at positions 129 to 758 of the family's 1533-position model. The record is from RNAcentral. Lineage: Bacteria; Pseudomonadati; Pseudomonadota; Alphaproteobacteria; Caulobacterales; Caulobacteraceae.
CCUUUAGGUUCGGAAUAACUCAGGGAAACUUGUGCUAAUACCGAAUGUGCCCUUCGGGGGAAAGAUUUAUCGCCUUUAGAGCGGCCCGCGUCUGAUUAGCUAGUUGGUGAGGUAAAGGCUCACCAAGGCGACGAUCAGUAGCUGGUCUGAGAGGAUGAUCAGCCACAUUGGGACUGAGACACGGCCCAAACUCCUACGGGAGGCAGCAGUGGGGAAUCUUGCGCAAUGGGCGAAAGCCUGACGCAGCCAUGCCGCGUGAAUGAUGAAGGUCUUAGGAUUGUAAAAUUCUUUCACCGGGGACGAUAAUGACGGUACCCGGAGAAGAAGCCCCGGCUAACUUCGUGCCAGCAGCCGCGGUAAUACGAAGGGGGCUAGCGUUGCUCGGAAUUACUGGGCGUAAAGGGAGCGUAGGCGGACAUUUAAGUCAGGGGUGAAAUCCCGGGGCUCAACCUCGGAAUUGCCUUUGAUACUGGGUGUCUUGAGUAUGAGAGAGGUGUGUGGAACUCCGAGUGUAGAGGUGAAAUUCGUAGAUAUUCGGAAGAACACCAGUGGCGAAGGCGACACACUGGCUCAUUACUGACGCUGAGGCUCGAAA